Molecule: ribosomal RNA, 540 nt
Filed under: Enterobacter sp. M18
Lineage: Bacteria; Pseudomonadati; Pseudomonadota; Gammaproteobacteria; Enterobacterales; Enterobacteriaceae
Description: bacterial SSU rRNA
Rfam family: Bacterial small subunit ribosomal RNA
Source: RNAcentral
AGCAUUGCGCAGCUACACAUGCAAGUCGAACGGUAGCACAGAAGUAAGCUUGGCUCCUCCGGGUGACGAAGUGGCGGACGGGUGAGUAAUGUCUGGGAAACUGCCUGAUGGAGGGGGAUAACUACUGGAAACGGUAGCUAAUACCGCAUAAUGUCGCAAGACCAAAGAGGGGGACCUUCGGGCCUCUUGCCAUCAGAUGUGCCCAGAUGGGAUUAGCUAGUAGGUGGGGUAACGGCUCACCUAGGCGACGAUCCCUAGCUGGUCUGAGAGGAUGACCAGCCACACUGGAACUGAGACACGGUCCAGACUCCUACGGGAGGCAGCAGUGGGGAAUAUUGCACAAUGGGCGCAAGCCUGAUGCAGCCAUGCCGCGUGUAUGAAGAAGGCCUUCGGGUUGUAAAGUACUUUCAGCGGGGAGGAAGGUGUUGAGGUUAAUAACCACAACAAUUGACGUUACCCGCAGAAAAAGGCCCGGCUAUCUCCGUGCCACCAGCCGCGGUAAUACUGAGGGUGCAUGCGUUAACCGGACUUCGGGGGCGA